CUGCCCCAUACCUUUCCAAGCUUUGCAAGGUCAGCAGAAAUGGUAUCCCAUGCAACACUGCCAUCAGUCCAUUUCUUUUCAUGAAUGGUGACUCCUGCCGCCCCAUUCGCAGAUGUUGCUUUCUCUGGGGCCGAACCAUCUUCAGGUGAGCUAGCUUUCGUUUUCUCAUUGCUAGAAGAAUUUUCAUCAUUGGAUUUCUGACUAUGUACAUCACUUAAACGUCUUGAAAUGGCCGCCUGAAGAGAAAAUAAUCAUGUCAAAAAUCCAGAAAUGAACUAGACUCAGAAUUGCACAUAUAACUCAGAUUCUAUUAUAUAAAAUUGCGUUCUUAAAAGCCCACCGUGGGAUAUUAUCAGUUGAAAUGAGAACAACAAAAUUCUCCCAAACUUAAAUUGCAUAUCAACUUCAAAUAAGCCCCAAAUUUGUUAUUCUUUUUGGGAUUUGGUGAUUUAUUACUCAAAGCUAGCAAAUUAAGAAAAAUUAUUUACCUGAGUCCGCAAGAUUGCUUGCAGAUCCGGCUUGGACUUGACAGAAGCUUUCUCCUUGUGUUCCCCUGAAUCUUUCUCCAGCUGGUCAUCCCAGCCUUUCCUACUACUCUUUGCCGAUCCCACCAGAGCUUCGGACACCUUCGAAAUCCCAGCAACAAUCGUUGCCAUCUUC
This 660-nucleotide long non-coding RNA is filed under the name Gossypium raimondii (Peruvian cotton). RNAcentral's name for it is "long non-coding RNA (GRAI_LNC006853)". The record is from RNAcentral. Lineage: Eukaryota; Viridiplantae; Streptophyta; Magnoliopsida; Malvales; Malvaceae.